This 226-nucleotide long non-coding RNA is filed under the name Vigna radiata. Its description in RNAcentral is "long non-coding RNA (VRAD_LNC004905)". The record is from RNAcentral. Lineage: Eukaryota; Viridiplantae; Streptophyta; Magnoliopsida; Fabales; Fabaceae.
UCUCUUAGAGUUGUGUCCUAGAUAGAGAGAAAAGAAAAGAGACAAGAUGGAAAAAAGAAAAAAAAAAUACAGAAAAAUGAGAAAAAAAAUGUGUGAAGAAUGGAGUCAAGAAGAGGAUUGAAUUAGAGGAUUUUGGGUGUGUUUGACUGUGUUUACACUUGUUCCCCAUUGCUCCUCUAUUUCUUUUGGUUUAUAGCUUCUCAUCCAUAUUUAUCCUCCCUUGUCC